AGUUGGAUGCAACCAAUGGCUCAUCGAAAUUGGCUUGCUGCAUUGGAUCCAAAUAUCCGGUCGGGCUUGCCAUGAUGAGUGAAAAAGUCCUCGUAGAGCUUAGCCACUGAAGGAAGAGGUAUGCGGCUUCAGCAUUCUGUGAAGUUGAAGACACCCAUCCGCUAAUACUGUAGUGUAAGAUCGAACGGCGGUUGAUGUGGUCACCGUGCUUCCGACCAAUCGGGUUG
RNAcentral lists this non-coding RNA (227 nucleotides) under Cognatishimia maritima. Its description in RNAcentral is "Thalassobius sp. GSW-6 Ruegeria cis90 sRNA". It matches the Rfam family "Ruegeria cis90 sRNA". From Rfam's summary of the family: Cis-encoded. Targets ABC transporter. Functions in transport. Lineage: Bacteria; Pseudomonadati; Pseudomonadota; Alphaproteobacteria; Rhodobacterales; Paracoccaceae. The record is from Rfam by way of RNAcentral.